GCGAGAUGAGGAGAGAGAGAGAGGGAGAGAGAGACACGUUUUCAGAGCUCCUUCAGCUCUUUCAAGUUCAACUUCAGUUCCAUCAGCUUGGUGGACGAGAUUCUAACAGGAGAUGAGUGGUCACCAUUCCUGUCUAUAAGGGACAGUCCAGCCCCCUCACUGUCCGUUUUCCAAUCAGAGGCUGCUAGCCAACACGGUUAUGAUGAAGGCGACCAAUUAAAGACUGGACCAGAGUUGCGCCUUCCCAACGACGUUCAACAUAACCACGAGGACAUAGGCCUUUCUUUAUACGAGGCUGUCAGCUUCAGCCAAUCAAGUCCGAAUGAGAUUGUGGACAACCAAUCGGACAACAGACAACAGGAAGUAGACAACAACAAUGACACAGGAGCUGACGCCAUUGCUGUCAUCAAACCGAAGAUAUUAUUGGAAAAUGAUGCAGCGGAGGAGAGUGAGUUGGACCACUCCAGACCCAUAUCUAAGGACACCCAUGACACUGUUGAAUUAUGCAAGUCCCCCAUAAGGACCCAAUCAAAGGACCUUCUUGACUUCCUCUGUGUUGAGGUGAGCCACACUGCUGGAUUGUGGGUAUUGUAGUCAUUUAAAGUGCUGUUGUAGCCCCCCCCCCCCCACCUGCAGGUUUUUGCUUCAACCCCAGUUGUAACUAACCUGAUUCAUCUUAUCAGACAGCUAAUUAUUAAAAUCAGGUGCUCUAGAUAAGGGUUGAACACCUACGGGACAGUAGCUCUGCAGGAACAGGGUUGGAGAGCCCUGGUAUAUAAACACUUACUGCAAAAUCUC
This is a long non-coding RNA of Oncorhynchus tshawytscha (Chinook salmon), 798 nucleotides long. The record is from Ensembl. Lineage: Eukaryota; Metazoa; Chordata; Actinopteri; Salmoniformes; Salmonidae.